This is a small nucleolar RNA of Bison bison bison, 64 nucleotides long. The record is from Ensembl. NCBI's taxonomy places the organism in Eukaryota, Metazoa, Chordata, Mammalia, Artiodactyla, Bovidae.
GAGCAAUGAUGAAAAGAUUUUACUGUGGAUCUUUAUGAAGGUUUCUACACUUGAUCUGAGCUCA